UACGUAGGGGGCAAGCGUUAUCCGGAUUUACUGGGUGUAAAGGGAGCGUAGACGGCAUGGCAAGUCAGAUGUGAAAACCCGAGGCUUAACUUCGGGAUUGCAUUUGAAACUGUCAAGCUAGAGUAUCGGAGAGGUAAGUGGAAUUCCUAGUGUAGCGGUGAAAUGCGUAGAUAUUAGGAGGAACACCAGUGGCGAAGGCGGCUUACUGGACGAAAACUGACGUUGAGGCUCGAAAGCGUGGGGAGCAAAC
This 250-nucleotide ribosomal RNA is filed under the name uncultured prokaryote. RNAcentral's name for it is "partial 16S ribosomal RNA". It matches the Rfam family "Bacterial small subunit ribosomal RNA", at positions 524 to 773 of the family's 1533-position model. The record is from RNAcentral.